Medicago truncatula (barrel medic) is the source of this 88-nucleotide microRNA precursor. It matches the Rfam family "MIR2617 microRNA precursor family". The record is from Rfam. Lineage: Eukaryota; Viridiplantae; Streptophyta; Magnoliopsida; Fabales; Fabaceae.
AUGUAGUGUGACAUGUCCGUUGGGUUUUACUCUAAUGUUGAAUUAAUUAUUAUUUAAUUACUUUUGGGUAACGGGGUGUUACACUACC